GGCCCAGACAGCCAGGAUGUUGGCUUAGAAGCAGCCAUCAUUUAAAGAAAGCGUAAUAGCUCACUGGUCGAGUCGGCCUGCGCGGAAGAUGUAACGGGGCUAAACCAUGCACCGAAGCUGCGGCAGCGACACUCAGGUGUUGUUGGGUAGGGGAGCGUUCUGUAAGCCUGCGAAGGUGGCCUGUGAGGGUUGCUGGAGGUAUCAGAAGUGCGAAUGCUGACAUAAGUAACGAUAAAGCGGGUGAAAAGCCCGCUCGCCGGAAGACCAAGGGUUCCUGUCCAACGUUAAUCGGGGCAGGGUGAGUCGACCCCUAAGGCGAGGCCGAAAGGCGUAGUCGAUGGGAAACGGGUUAAUAUUCCCGUACUUGGUGUUACUGCGAAGGGGGGACGGAGAAGGCUAUGUUGGCCGGGCGACGGUUGUCCCGGUUUAAGCGUGUAGGUGUGUGUUCCAGGUAAAUCCGGUUCACUUUAACACUGAGGCGUGACGACGAGGCACUACGGUGCUGAAGCAACAAAUGCCCUGCUUCCAGGAAAAGCCUCUAAGCAUCAGGUAACAUCAAAUCGUACCCCAAACCGACACAGGUGGUCAGGUAGAGAAUACCAAGGCGCUUGAGAGAACUC
RNAcentral lists this ribosomal RNA (620 nucleotides) under Salmonella enterica subsp. enterica serovar Corvallis. Its description in RNAcentral is "partial 23S ribosomal RNA". It matches the Rfam family "Bacterial large subunit ribosomal RNA", at positions 1082 to 1701 of the family's 2925-position model. Lineage: Bacteria; Pseudomonadati; Pseudomonadota; Gammaproteobacteria; Enterobacterales; Enterobacteriaceae. The record is from RNAcentral.